GAGAGACAGAGAGACAGAGAGAGAGAGUAGAAGAGGAAGGCCAGAGGAAUCAGGGCAGCUUUGAAAGUGCCUUACUGCAUUUUUUAAUUACUUAAAAAGUAAAACAAGGUACACAUAAUAAAAAUCGUUUCAGGAGCAAAUCUUUCUGUGGCUGUGUAUAUAAAGUGCUUUUUAAUUUUGUGUUUUGGAUUUCAAAAUUUUAAAAAGUCAAAUAUUGAUACUUUGCUUUUUGUCAGUUUGCCAAUUUUCAAGUCAUGACAAGAAAUGAAAAAAAAUAAUAAUUAAUAUGACCUUUCUCUUAUUAUUGGCUCUUUGGAACACACUUUCCUGUGGUCAUUUAUAGCUGCCAAUACUUCUCGGUGCCUUGUCACUGCCGUGUGUGCCUGGCUCCGCUCUCUGCGCUCUGCAUCACUUCCCCGACUCUUCCAGGCUUCUCGCGAUCCUCCCCCACAGCCGCGGCUCUGCCGGCAGAGUCACGUGCCGUCGCUAGUCCCGCCACGGCCCGGCCCUCUUGGGGCGUGGGCCCAGCGGCGGUACGGCCGGGUCCAAGGGCGCCUGCAGCCCAGGAUCCCUUCUGGGCCCGGACCCACAUUGUUUCGGGCAGGACGUGGGGUUCAGAGCCUGGGUGGGGCGGGGGUCCCUGGCUUUGACCCUGGAUCAGCACCCAUCGACGCCUGUGGCCCCUGAGUCAUCCGGGAAAUGGACAGUUUCGGAAAGAGGAGGACGCCCCCCAUUCUCCUGUCCCCUUCGAGGGGGUCAAUCAGACCCGUGAAGGCCCGUGGAGGGAGGGGGCGGCCCGAGCUGGGGUGCAGGAGCCCACGAGGGAAGAGGAGGCGUCACUGGGGAUGAACUGAGGUCUGGGGGGAGGGGCGUACGGUGGAGAGAAGACGGUGCUGGGGGCUGAGGACCGGGCCAGAGGAGGGGGCGGGGCAGGGCACGGUCCUCAGGGCCUUCCGGCAGCCCCGCCCCCACCUCCGCUCCCGGGCUUCGCGCCUGAGUGUGUGCCGCCCCGGGACUACAUUUCCCAGAAGCCCUCGCCCUGCGCUCCACUCCGCUUCCUCUCCGUUCUUACCCCAUGACCUCGUGACCUCAGCUGUUCCACCAGUUUGGCUGAAUCGGCUCCGGUCCUCUGGGUCCGCGUGUCUCGAGCUCCCCCGAGGAUCCCGAGACCCGGACGUUCCGAGCCCCCCGCCCGCCACCGUACCUGGGAGUACUGAGUCCCCCAAGACUCCCCCAAACUUAGAGUUUUCUCUUCCAGCCCCUUCAGCACCUGCCAGGAGGCCUUGACGUUCCCCUCUAGGAUACCGUACCAGCUGCCCCUUCCCCGGGGGUCUCCACUGCCUCCACCCCCACCUCUGACCCAGCCAGCAUCCGGGACUUCUGUCUCCCUGCCCCCGACCACCAGACCCCAGCCCUCCCUUACUGACCCCUGAUGAAGGUCUGGGGUUGUCGGGCUGGACUCCGGUCCCCUCCGGAGUUUGGGGCGGGCUGGGGGCGGGCGAAGACAGAGGGGAAGCCCACUGACUACUUCUAAGAUUCAUUCGUUCUCCAGACCCCACCCGCUUUCCCCCAGUGUUGUUACCCUCGGAGAGCCUUCCCAGAGAUGGGGUCUGUUCCCAAGAAAGCCAAGUCCCCAGCCUGCCUGCUCUGAUUCUUGGGGACUGGGACCCCUGGCUGCUGAGCUGCUCCUGCUAUAGUCAGCCAGCGAGUCAGCAAAAGUGCAUGAAGUGCCUACUGUGCGCAGGUGCUAGGCUAGGCCAGGCCAGAGUGAUACCAAAAAGGCUAAAAGAUUGCCUGGCCACAGGAGCUCCCAUUCUAACAUGGGAUACAUCAUGGAAAUGAUAUGUGUCUGUCUGUCUGUGUCUUUGUGGGUGGGUGUGUCUAGAGAGAGGAUGGGAGGUUAUCUCAGGGGGAUGGCAUCAAGAGCUGGGGUGACAGGGAGAGACCUCCAGGAGGGGGGACCUAAGCUGAGUCCUACAGGGAACCCAGGGGUGGGAGGGAGGGGGCCAAGCAUUCUUGCUGCUCUCCCAGGUCACUAACGGCUCUUCCUGCUUUCCCUCUGCAGCCUGUGACUGUCCAUCCUCCUCUUCUCC
This 2093-nucleotide long non-coding RNA is filed under the name Phascolarctos cinereus (koala). RNAcentral's name for it is "lncRNA (ENSPCIG00000032136.1)". The record is from RNAcentral. Lineage: Eukaryota; Metazoa; Chordata; Mammalia; Diprotodontia; Phascolarctidae.